Carassius gibelio (silver crucian carp) is the source of this 829-nucleotide long non-coding RNA. RefSeq lists it as uncharacterized. The transcript has 3 exons. The record is from RefSeq and is a predicted model, not a curated record. NCBI's taxonomy places the organism in Eukaryota, Metazoa, Chordata, Actinopteri, Cypriniformes, Cyprinidae.
ACAGAUAUCAAUGCAUUGAUUUUGGGUUUGUUAAAAAGCUUUGCAUUUCAAACAAAUGAAGUUAAUGCCGUAUCUAACCCCGUCGAGAUGAAAGGGCGUCUUUACGCACCAGGAUCCGUGAUAAAGACCAGACGGUGUCUGAUGCAGAUCAGUCAGGUAACAGAUACAUUCAGUCAAGUUGUAAAACAUACAGGCGUAAAUAAAUCAACGUGUAUGUGUAUUAAAGAUUUAUGUUAUUAGGGUAUCUUCUUCUGAAGUUUAUUAUAUUUAGAGGCGUUCUCAAGAGACGCCCACACGGGGGGGUACCCAGGCUUUAAAAACUAAAAGUUUUGUCAUACUGAUUACCUGCAAAAUUAACUUCAAGUCGUGCUACGCCACAAUAAACAAUAACGAAACAAUGGCGGACAACUACCAGGGUGAGUUUUUUAUUUUUAUUUUAUUCAUUUUAUUUUAUACAAAUGAUUUAAAUAUAUUUUAAAGUGAAUAUUUGUUUAAUGUAUGGUGGAUGAUUUCUAGACGGUUUCGAGAAUCAGGACUUCGAUGAAGGUUUGGAUCAGAUCCUUGAAGAGUUAUUUGAUGAGAACGUGUUGUUUGCUUGUGAUGAACCCGGUGCUGUUAAUAACGACGAGCAAGAUGUUGGCAACAAUCAGGAGCUGAUAACCCCUCCAGAAAACGUUGCGCAAGAAGUUGAGAUUAGCACCGAAUCACAACACGCCCUAGGACACGUCACAAAUCCUGCCUCCGCCGACGCGCCAGAUCCCGAGGGUGAUUCUCACAAUCUCCCAGAUGUCUCAAACGUACGCACCGAAGCUAGCGUUACGUGUAGAGU